This 491-nucleotide ribosomal RNA is filed under the name uncultured bacterium. Its description in RNAcentral is "partial 16S ribosomal RNA". It matches the Rfam family "Bacterial small subunit ribosomal RNA", at positions 29 to 507 of the family's 1533-position model. The record is from RNAcentral.
AGUGAACGCUGGCGGUAGGCCUAACACAUGCAAGUCGAACGGCAGCACAGUAAGAGCUUGCUCUUACGGGUGGCGAGUGGCGGACGGGUGAGGAAUACAUCGGAAUCUACUUUUUCGUGGGGGAUAACGUAGGAAACUUACGCUAAUACCGCAUACGACCUACGGGUGAAAGCAGGGGAUCUUCGGACCUUGCGCGAUUGAAUGAGCCGAUGUCGGAUUAGCUAGUUGGCGGGGUAAAGGCCCACCAAGGCGACGAUCCGUAGCUGGUCUGAGAGGAUGAUCAGCCACACUGGAACUGAGACACGGUCCAGACUCCUACGGGAGGCAGCAGUGGGGAAUAUUGGACAAUGGGCGCAAGCCUGAUCCAGCAAUACCGCGUGGGUGAAGAAGGCCUUCGGGUUGUAAAGCCCUUUUGUUGGGAAAGAAAAGCAGCAGGUUAAUACCCCGAUGUUCUGACGGUACCCAAAGAAUAAGCACGGGCUAACUUCGUG